GUAUGUAUUUCAAAAAAAGAACAUAAAUAUUAAUAAUCUUAAAAUAAAUAUUAAUUAUCUUAAGAAAUUAAUCUUUGUUGAAUGUAUUUCAAAAAGGAACAUAAAUAUUAAUAACAGCAAUUUAAACAAUGAAAUUGAAUAAAAAGAUGUUCAUCUUAGGAACUUCAUCUUUGUUCUAUGUAUUUCAAAAAAGAACAUAAAUAUUAAUAAUAGCAAAACAAGUAAUAAAAUUAAAUAAAGAGCUGUUUAUCUUAGGAAAUUAAUCUUUGUUGUAUGCAUUUCAGAAGGGAACAUAAAUAUUAAUAACAGCAAUUUAAACAAUGAAAUUGAAUAAAAAGAUGUUCAUCUUAGGAACUUCAUCUUUGUUCUAUGUAUUUCAAAAAAGAACAUAAAUAUUAAUAAUAGCAACACAAGUAAUAAAAUUAAAUAAAAAGCUGUUCAUCACAUCACAUUCGAUGUCCGCUUUUAAUUUAUUGACUACAAUUCUGCUACAUUGUUCAUUGAGGUCCCAUUGAGAUUACCAACACCGAUUUCGUCGGCAACAAUUCGCCGACACCAGUCUGGAUCGGCAACAAUGAUAGUCGACACAGAAUUUAACUAAUUGCAGAGUUUGGUUUAGAGUUCACAGCACAUAUUAUAUCAGUGCGCGUCCCAACUUCGUCCACCUAAGGAAUAUGUAUCUCGAUCAUUAUUAUUCGGUUGACGGUAUCAGUUAAUAUUGACGUCGGAUAACAUUGCUGUUGACGAAAUUAUCAUCGUUGAAAUUUCGUGUGGAACAGGUGCGAUAUCGAUGAAUUGUAAUUGUAUGAAAACAGUAUCAGUGAAAUCCGUGUCAGUGAUUUCUCAAUGGAAUCCAUUCAUUGCAGAGGUUUAAAGCUACCAGGACUUGUCGAAAUUAUAAGAAUAAAUAAAAAUAUCUUUAACAAUAUUAUUUUUGUUUCUAAUGACCAGGAACUGGAUGAGUAUGAAAAAACAACAAUAAAACACUACAAUGAAAUUUUAUUAUUUCUUCCAAUGAAUAUGUACUUGUACAAUCGAUAAACCUUUAAGAUCUUGGGUCAUUUUGUCGAAUAUUUUGUAUGUUAAUUAUAUUAGAUUAAUUAUAUUAAUUAUUUAAUUUAAUAAUCUAAUAAUUAAUUAAUUAUAUUAGAUUAAUUCUAUUAGGCCUGCCCCAUCCUACAACAUUAAUAAUCAUACAAUCCGUCACUGAGGAUCUUUAUUUUUCUGUACAUGUGAACUCCUCUUGCAUAUUGCUCCAUUCACAAUGUGCCACCCUCUAUCUUUCACCAUUUCCAACAUUGUCUCUCCUUCUCUAUUUCUUUCUAUUACGCUCGCCUGUACACAGUUUCAUCUCUUCCUAUUCUUCAAUUGAAAUCCUGUCCUAUAAUUCAAAUCAGCACCUUGUCUUUCACUUGUCCUUAGUUCAGACAUUUUGCAACUUCCCUUCUACUCUCAUUUCUCUCCCUACAAGUUCUUGUACUUCAUGACAUUCUUCUAUUAGUUGCCAGUCUCUUCCUUCAAUCCUAUUUAUAAUAGGAAUUUUUAUUAUUUCAUAUAUUAUUUCAUAUUAUUUUUAUUAUUUACUCUAAUUACCUAUCUAUAAUAGGAUUAUUUCCCCUUUCAUUCCUACUUUCAUCCUUAGUUCCUCCUUAGUUUCACCCUUGUUCCCUCACCUAGACCUUGUAAUUGUCUUUCUGUCUUUACUUUUCAUCCUUCCUUCUGCCUACUUUGACCUUUGCUCCCUUCAAAUUCUUCUGUACGUAUGCCAUUGCGUCUAAACUCUUCCACUUUCCACUAUCUUUACCUUGUGGCUCCCUUUUAUCCUUGAUCCAUGGGAUGGAAAGUAUCUUCUUUAAACUUUGCCAUCUCUUCACUUCCAUCCAUGUUCUGUCAAAUCUUCAAAGUCUUCAAGCUUCUAUCAAAUCUUCAAAGUCUUCAAGCUUCUGUCAAACUAAUGAAACCCCUUUAGAAAAUCUCCAAACCUGCUGACCUUUUUCUCUGCUCCUGUAUGACAGAACGAUAACCUACUUUCUCUUUCCUUUCUCCAUAUUUCUAUUCUUACCUUUUCUAUCUCUCUCUGCACUCCAUACGUUCCCUCUUUCUUCAUUUUCUUUCCUUUCCGCUCUCUUCUUUUCAUCUGUCUUUCUUGAUCCCCGAGGCUACUUCAGAAAGAUCUUCCUAUGACAGUUACACGAAUUGCUCGUCUUUAUGCCAUUUGAACCAACAAUUUAGAUCUUCGAAGAACGUUUUAUCUAAAAUAUUUGCCAGAUCUUUCGAUUGACUCUGCUUGAAGGACGUGCAGUUUUGCAUAGGUCCAGCGCUUUUUGCCAAGUUACAGAAGACAUGGAACACGGUGAAGUUUUAACACGUUUUCUUUUUUUUUUUUUCUCAUUGCUCUUCUACGUUCGAGAGAUAUUUGCCGGUACGUGCUUGAAACGCGGACAUUUUUCGAAGCAACGGUAUAUACAGUUCAAGUGUAUCUUUGAGCAUUUCAAGGUUUAAUGCUUCAGCUAAUAUUUUAACUAAAUGAUACGUAAAUUAACGUUGAACGAUUUUAAAGCCACGUUCAAUCGACAGAUUCUCAGCAGUGUUAGACGAACGUCGGAUCGUUUUACAUUGUGAUCCUUGUUCAUCCUUAAUAUUAAUAUACGUCAAUAACUUUAAUAUCUUCUGUUCUAUGAGUUAGACGGUUCUCGAGGCUUUAUUAUUUGAUUAAAAUCUUACCUGUUUAAUAUCGAUGGUUAAAAAUUAUCUUGGAAUGUUAUUAACGCAAACUGACCAUAGCUUGUCCAAUGUUAUUAGAACGUUCUGUAAUAAUGUAUAAGAAGCUUUUUUGUACCAUCGUGUCAUUCAGCGCCAUUUCUCACAAUAUCCCAAGUCAAUGCACGAAACAACAGCAAUAAAGAUGAUUCUUAAGCGGUCAUUAUUCGAUAUUGUUAAUGAUAGUUAUACAAAUAAAUCGAGCUGUGAACAUCGGAGGGAAUUAACGAGUCGAGAAAUCGCUCGCUUCGUUUUAACUUGAGAAAAUUUCUUAACGCUCGUAUCUGGAAAAAAGAUUAUCUUUUCAUUAUUUAAAUAGUCGAGAAUACUAUGGACUUGCGUAACAAUACGAUGUAAGAUAUCGUUUCGGGAAUUUCCUCUCGCUGUUCGUCUUUGCAAAAAUUAUAGUUCUUCUGGCGUCUUUCGAUGGGAAAAAGUGUCGAGAACUUCCAUUCCGCGGUCUAAAUCAGCAACGUGUAGUUGGAAACGCCAGUUCUCGCUCAAAGUACAAGUAAAACCGAGCGAGAGGUUAGGAUGUUUCCGACGUCAGGGCGGUCGUUGCUAAACAGUUGUGUUUGCGUUUCGUAUUUUGCCACAUCGUCGAAACGGUGAGAGUGGCAGCACUAGAAAGGGCAAAGAAGAACGAUAAUUUGCAGGGCUCAAGAAAUGAUCGUUCAACACGAUAAUACCACGUAAUUGUGAUAAAAGUAUAAGAGAAGCGUGAGGCAGAGAAAAAGGCAAAGAUUACCAAUAUUAAUUAGUUAAUUAAUGAACACAUAGCGAAGUAGAUAAUUUUUUUAGAUGAUCAAGAAAAUAAAUUACAGGGAAUAUUUAUACAUACGCGUGCGUACAGGAAAAAAAAAUAUAUAUAUAUAUAUAUUAUAGUUGCACGCGUGCAUGUGUAAAGUAAAUGAAACGAGACGAGAAUUUUAUCCACGAAACAGACAAGUGAUUAAUAUAUAAUUGAUUUAAGGGCUGUAUUAACCGACACACAAUUAGAAAACGAUAGAGAGAUAUACAGUAUGAUUAAUUAAUGAAACAUUAGAAUAACUAUUAUACCAAUUAAUUAAUUGGAUGCAUACAUUAUGCGUGUAUACAUUAACAGCAGCAACGUAUGUACUUGUAUACAUAAAUAAUAAUACAAUAUUAUUAUUAUAAUUAUUAUUAUAUAUUAUACAUAUAAAUAUAUUAUAUUGUAUACACAUUAGUGAAUGUUCAAUGUUGAAAUAAAAUGCAUAUACGUUGUUUACACCAUAUACGUCUACUUGCUCGCCUAUUAUUUCAUUCCCUCGAACGUACAACCUUUACGUUGUUUUCUCACGUUCGUCUAAUAGCUUUCCAGUCCAGUUCCUGCGUCCAUCGGUUCAUACGAUCCAAUUCCUGCUUCCAUCGGUUCAUACGAUCCAGUUCCAUCCAAUCCAGCAGUGGAUCGUAAUUAACGCGACCAAUGUUUUCAUUCCAGUACAGUAACCUCAUUCUGCUUUCGAAUAACAUGGACAUUGAGCGAUUUCCAGUCGAACGACUGGAAUGUAAUCCAGCGACUGGACUAAGGCAAACCCAGCUUUACUUUUUGGACCAUAUUUUGAACAUUAGUAGGGACGUAGAAUAUAAUUUUAUGAAUAUCUACUAUUUUUUGAAAGUGUAAUAUGUUGAGAGGGGUUUGCUUAAAAAAAAAUAAUGAAAAUAAAUAUCGUAGAAGAAAGUGUCGUAAAUAAUUAUAAGCGCUUUUACUUUAAUAUUUUCUGACUUUUAUAUUUUGCUUUCUCUUUUAUAUGAGGUUAUUGCAAAAGUUUCUCUCGUUUUGUAAGGAAAUAAUAGAUGCACGGAAUUUUUGUUUUAUAUUAUUUUAUUGAAUUAUUUUGUUUUAUUACUACAAAAUGGUUCAUAUAUAAUUCAAUGAAAUAAUAUGAAAGAAAGAAUGUUGUGCAUCUAUUAUUUCCUUAUAAAGCAAAACAAAAGAAAUUUUUCGGAUAACCUAAUAUUUAUAAGCAAUUUUACUUCAGGACGAAAAUUGAGUGACAAGAAGUAAACAGAAAAUAGUUAAGAAAGAAGUUUACUUUAAUAUUUAUUGACGAUGAAUUGAUAAUAAAUUCAGUUAACCGAAAAUAACAAAUAGAGAAUAAUUAAGAAAAAAUGGAACUUAGUAAUCAUCUAAAUCAAUAUCAGUAUCUAGCUCGAUAGCUUUUCAAUUUCUAUGUCAUAAUUGUGAAUCUCGUUUAUAGCUGUAAAUAUGUCGCGGAUUCAUAUUUUGUGAGGCUUUUUCCAAGAUUGAGGUUAGGUUUAGAUUGGUCUUAGGUUCGAUAACGGUCAACGGGAGGAUAGUUAUACUUGCUCACACAAUAGUCACAGAUCGUAAGGCGCUACUCUCUUCGUCGAGGAGAUCGCAAGAAAGAAUGAAUUUUCGUCCCGAUGAUGCCACCGAGGAAAACUAUGAUGGGAUGUGUCUAAGGACACGAGAUCAUCGGAUUCGUCGAGUAUAGCCCUCGUUCCGAAAGUAAGGGAAAUUGACAUCGCUGUCAAUUGGUCAAUUUGGGACAAAGACUGCCUGUCCGUUUGAAGAAUCUUAAUUACCAGUGUGGCGGAUCGGUAUCAAUAGGACGCAGACAGGUCGAGGCAUCAACGCGGCGCAACACCUCCCGGGCGAUCCGCUGGUACCAACCGCCAACACUAGAGGGCUACGACGACAACGAGUCUGUCUAACUCGCUAGCGGUCGAAUAUACGAGCGAUUGAUACAAAUACCGCACCUAGCGAGACUCCCUCUACGUCUAAGGCAGGGACUACCGGGCAUAGCCUUACU
Molecule: long non-coding RNA, 5558 nt
Organism: Bombus huntii
Lineage: Eukaryota; Metazoa; Arthropoda; Insecta; Hymenoptera; Apidae
Exons: 3
Source: RefSeq, a predicted model, not a curated record